Molecule: ribosomal RNA, 484 nt
Filed under: uncultured bacterium
Lineage: Bacteria
Description: partial 16S ribosomal RNA
Rfam family: Bacterial small subunit ribosomal RNA
Source: RNAcentral
AUUGAACGCUGGCGGCAGGCCUAACACAUGCCAGUCGAGCGGAUGAAGGGAGCUUGCUCCUGGAUUCAGCGGCGGACGGGUGAGUAAUGCCUAGGAAUCUGCCUGGUAGUGGGGGAUAACGUCCGGAAACGGGCGCUAAUACCGCAUACGUCCUGAGGGAGAAAGUGGGGGAUCUUCGGACCUCACGCUAUCAGAUGAGCCUAGGUCGGAUUAGCUAGUUGGUGGGGUAAAGGCCUACCAAGGCGACGAUCCGUAACUGGUCUGAGAGGAUGAUCAGUCACACUGGAAGUGAGACACGGUCCAGACUCCUACGGGAGGAAGCAGUGGGGAAUAUUGGACGAUGGGCGAAAGCCGGAUCCAGCCAUGCCGCGUGUGUGAAGAAGGUCUUCGGAUGGGAAAGCACUGUAAGUUGGGAGGAAGGGAAGUAAGUUAAUACCGUGCUGUAUUGACGGUACCAGCAGAAUAAGCACCGGCUAACUUCGUG